GUUGCCUACGGGACGCAGCAGUAGGGAAUCUUCGGCAAUGGGCGAAAGCCUGACCGAGCAACGCCGCGUGAAUGAAGAAGGCCUUCGGGUUGUAAAAUUCUGUUAUAAGGGAAGAAAGGUGAUAGGAGGAAAUGACUAUCAAUUGACGGUACCUUAUGAGAAAGCCACGGCUAACUACGUGCCAGCAGCCGCGGUAAUACGUAGGGGGCAAGCGUUAUCCGGAUUUACUGGGUGUAAAGGGAGCGCAGGCGGCGCGGUAAGUCUGAUGUGAAAGCCCGGGGCUCAACCCCGGGACUGCAUUGGAA
This 305-nucleotide ribosomal RNA is filed under the name uncultured bacterium. RNAcentral describes it as "bacterial SSU rRNA". It matches the Rfam family "Bacterial small subunit ribosomal RNA", at positions 334 to 631 of the family's 1533-position model. The record is from RNAcentral.